Molecule: ribosomal RNA, 253 nt
Filed under: uncultured bacterium
Lineage: Bacteria
Description: partial 16S ribosomal RNA
Rfam family: Bacterial small subunit ribosomal RNA
Source: RNAcentral
UACGGAGGAUGCAAGCGUUAUCCGGAAUUAUUGGGCGUAAAGCGUCCGCAGGUGGCACUUCAAGUCUGUCGUCAAAGACCGGGGCUUAACCCUGGAAAGGCGAUGGAAACUGAAAGGCUAGAGAGAGGUAGGGGUAGAGGGAAUUCCCAGUGUAGCGGUGAAAUGCGUAGAGCUCGGGAAGAACACCGGUGGCGAAAGCGCUCUGCUAGGCCGCAACUGACACUGAGGGACGAAAGCUAGGGGAGCGAAUGGG